This 497-nucleotide ribosomal RNA is filed under the name uncultured bacterium. Its description in RNAcentral is "partial 16S ribosomal RNA". It matches the Rfam family "Bacterial small subunit ribosomal RNA", at positions 28 to 507 of the family's 1533-position model. The record is from RNAcentral.
GAUGAACGCUGGCGGCGUGCCUAAUACAUGCAAGUCGAGCGAACAGACGAGGAGCUUGCUCCUCUGACGUUAGCGGCGGACGGGUGAGUAACACGUGGAUAACUUACCUAUAAGACUGGGAUAACUUCGGGAAACCGGAGCUAAUACCGGAUAAUAUAUUGAACCGCAUGGUUCAAUAGUGAAAGACGGUUUUGCUGUCACUUAUAGAUGGAUCCGCGCCGCAUUAGCUAGUUGGUAAGGUAACGGCUUACCAAGGCAACGAUGCGUAGCCGACCUGAGAGGGUGAUCGGCCACACUGGAACUGAGACACGGUCCAGACUCCUACGGGAGGCAGCAGUAGGGAACCUUCCGCAAUGGGCGAAAGCCUGACGGAGCAACGCCGCGUGAGUGAUGAAGGUCUUCGGAUCGUAAAACUCUGUUAUUAGGGAAGAACAAAUGUGUAAGUAACUAUGCACGUCUUGACGGUACCUAAUCAGAAAGCCACGGCUAACUACGUG